CUCUGAUUCUCUGUGCUGCGGGUAGGUGCUGAGCUCCGAGUUUUCUUAAUAAAUAAUAAUUAAAAACAUAUUUUAGGUUAAAAAUUAUGCUCCAACUAUGUUAAUAAAACAUAUUAAAACUUAUUUUUGUGAAGAAUUGAUUGUUUUAGGUCGUAGGUAACUGUUUAUGACUCUAUUUCUCACUCCUCUGUUAAAAGUUGGGUGAGAUUCACACGAGGCUCCGUUUUUCAGUGGCAGUAACUGCAGUAGCCACUUCACCACGACAGAAGUAAAAAAUAUUUACGUGUUGUUUUCCAGCAGCAGUCUCUGAUUCUCUGUGCUGCGGCUGGCAGUAACUGCAGUAGCCACUUCACCACGACAGAAGUAAAAAAUAUUUACGUGUUGUUUUCCAGAAUAAAAGUGGAUGAAAGCAUGAACGAGGGUGUGCGUGUGCUGCUGUGCUAUUGGUGAGGGGUGUCGUGAAACAAGCUGGCUCUGCUGACGGGUCCGUCACACUGGUGCCGUGAAUCCGUCACACUUGGGUGUUGCUUAGUGGUUGUCAGGAACAUUCUGUGGUAUAUCCAGAUGGUUUCUCUGGUGUUACAGGAGGAUGUUUUUGAUUUUGCAAUCCCUCAAACGAAGCGCUGCAUUCAAGCCCAAAUCGCAUAAGCAAUGCUUCGAAAAGUUUUUUUUGUUUGUUUUUUGUCUAUUACCCAUCUGUUACCAAUACUUAAUAGUAAAUCAUCUGGCGCCUAAAA
This is a long non-coding RNA of Astyanax mexicanus (Mexican tetra), 737 nucleotides long. RefSeq lists it as uncharacterized. The transcript has 2 exons. The record is from RefSeq and is a predicted model, not a curated record. NCBI's taxonomy places the organism in Eukaryota, Metazoa, Chordata, Actinopteri, Characiformes, Acestrorhamphidae.